UCGUCAGCUCGUGUCGUGAGAUGUCGGGUUAAGUCCCUUAACGAGCGAAACCUUUGCCCUUAGUUACCAGCGGGUUAUGCCGGGGACUCUAAGGGGACUGCCGGUGUCAAACCGGAGGAAGGUGGAGAUGACGUCAAGUCCUCAUGGCCUUUAUGCCCAGGGCUACACACGUGCUACAAUGGCAGUGACAAUGGGCUGCGACCUCGCGAGGGGUA
RNAcentral lists this ribosomal RNA (215 nucleotides) under Anophryoides haemophila. RNAcentral describes it as "partial Bacterial small subunit ribosomal RNA". It matches the Rfam family "Bacterial small subunit ribosomal RNA", at positions 1052 to 1266 of the family's 1533-position model. The record is from RNAcentral. Lineage: Eukaryota; Ciliophora; Oligohymenophorea; Philasterida; Glauconematidae.